GUGGAAGGGAAGAGGCUAGCCUAUCCCGGGAUGAGCCCGGGGAGGGACCAGGAAAGAACAGAAAGCAUGGGCCAAAGAGUGGGGAGCCUCCUGUAGCUCCAGGGGCCGGGAGAAGAAAGCCCAGGCAGCAAUGGGAGAGUAAAGGAGGGGAGAGGUGAGGCAACAGGCAGGCCUGGGCAGGGCAGGAAGCAGGAGAGAGAGAGGAAGGGAGGAAGUAGAGCAGCCCAAUGAUGAGGGAGGAGCAGGAGGCAGGAGUGGGAGAAGACAAAGGAGGGAUGUUGAAAAGAGGCAGGCAGGAGGUAGGCUGGGGCACUGCGGCCAUGUCCCGCAGCCUUGACCCUUGGGCAAGUCCCUUUCCCUCUCUGGCCAGCCUCCUUUUCUGGGAAGUUCGAGGUUGGACUAGAUGACCUCCAGAGAUCCCCAUCUGAGCUUCCUGAGGUUCCAAGCUUGCCAGCAAGAGGGGAGAUGGCUGGGAGCAGCUGAGGGAGUGGUCCCCAGGCCUGAAGAUGGGGAAGAGAUAAUCUUGGGUCACAGGCCCUUCCCCUUGGGACCUCAUGCUCUCCCUCAGCCCUUUCCUGUAUGGCCUCUUGGCCUGGCGGAACUGGGCUGUCUGCGAGCCCAUCUGUUAGGCUGUGGGCAUGGACUGGGCUGGCAGACAGCCCCCGGCAUCAGGCCUUGCCAGCCUCUUCCAGGAGACGGCCUUGGGCUAAGCUGUCUCAUCUUCAUCGAGAUACCUGGGAGACUCCAGCACUUCAUCUUGUGUAACCCAGAGCCACAAUCCCCCCGAGAAGCAGUUGUCCUCAGCCCUGUGGGUCCUGUCCUGGUACAGCAAGGGGAAUGAAGAGCCAGCCCUUUUACUUGGAGUUUGCUUACAUUUCUCCAUCUGCUCAGGAGGUAAGGCUGGAGGCACCGAUGCCCAUACCUCAUCAACUUGAGGACUGAGAGGGCUCCUCUAGAAGGCUGCAGUCCCUUUCUGGGCAGAGGGAGAGAAUUUAUGCCAGGCUGGCAGAUUUGGAGAGACUCCUGGUCACAGCCCAAGGAAACAAGAGGCCUUGCCCAAUAUAGGCAUUUAUGAGCCUGGAGGCAAAAAAUUCUCUUCUCUUUCAGCCCAGCCCUCUCUCUCCCAGCCUAGCCCUACCCAGCUCAGCCCUGCCACCCUAGGCUUGGCUGGUCCUAGGACCACAGCCCAGCUUGCCUGGCUUGGCCUGGAUGCCGGUGCCCAUGUAGGUCUCUUGGAAAUUCCCAAUGGACAACUUCACAGAUGCUAACUUCCCAGUGGCUACGUCUGGCCUCCAGGAGCCUGAAGUCCCAACUCUGGCUCUCUCCUCUUUUUUCUUACUACCCCAAAUCAGCCCUCUCCUUUUCCUUAGAGACCCUGGUCACAGCU
This 1387-nucleotide long non-coding RNA is filed under the name Canis lupus familiaris (dog). RNAcentral describes it as "lncRNA (ENSCAFG00845001089.1)". Lineage: Eukaryota; Metazoa; Chordata; Mammalia; Carnivora; Canidae. The record is from RNAcentral.